RNAcentral lists this ribosomal RNA (465 nucleotides) under Vreelandella stevensii. Its description in RNAcentral is "partial 16S ribosomal RNA". It matches the Rfam family "Bacterial small subunit ribosomal RNA", at positions 338 to 795 of the family's 1533-position model. Lineage: Bacteria; Pseudomonadati; Pseudomonadota; Gammaproteobacteria; Oceanospirillales; Halomonadaceae. The record is from RNAcentral.
CCUACGGGAGGCAGCAGUGGGGAAUAUUGGACAAUGGGGGCAACCCUGAUCCAGCCAUGCCGCGUGUGUGAAGAAGGCCCUCGGGUUGUAAAGCACUUUCUGUGAGGAAGAACGCCUGGUGGUUAAUACCCAUCAGGAAAGACAUCACUCACAGAAGAAGCACCGGCUAACUCCGUGCCAGCAGCCGCGGUAAUACGGAGGGUGCGAGCGUUAAUCGGAAUUACUGGGCGUAAAGCGCGCGUAGGUGGCUUGAUAAGCCGGUUGUGAAAGCCCCGGGCUCAACCUGGGAACGGCAUCCGGAACUGUCAAGCUAGAGUGCAGGAGAGGAAGGUAGAAUUCCCGGUGUAGCGGUGAAAUGCGUAGAGAUCGGGAGGAAUACCAGUGGCGAAGGCGGCCUUCUGGACUGACACUGACACUGAGGUGCGAAAGCGUGGGUAGCAAACAGGAUUAGAUACCCUAGUAGUC